AACGAACGCUGGCGGCAUGCCUAACACAUGCAAGUCGAACGAGACCUUCGGGUCUAGUGGCGCACGGGUGCGUAACGCGUGGGAACCUGCCCUUAGGUUCGGAAUAACUCCCCGAAAGGGGUGCUAAUACCGGAUAAUGUCUUCGGACCAAAGAUUUAUCGCCUUUGGAUGGGCCCGCGUUGGAUUAGCUAGUUGGUAGGGUAAAAGCCUACCAAGGCUACGAUCCAUAGCUGGACUGAGAGGAUGAUCAGCCACACUGGGACUGAGACACGGCCCAGACUCCUACGGGAGGCAGCAGUGGGGAAUAUUGGACAAUGGGCGAAAGCCUGAUCCAGCAAUGCCGCGUGAGUGAUGAAGGCCUUAGGGUUGUAAAGCUCUUUUACCCGGGAUGAUAAUGACAGUACCGGGAGAAUAAGCUCCGGCUAACUCCGUG
This 433-nucleotide ribosomal RNA is filed under the name uncultured bacterium. Its description in RNAcentral is "partial 16S ribosomal RNA". It matches the Rfam family "Bacterial small subunit ribosomal RNA", at positions 29 to 507 of the family's 1533-position model. The record is from RNAcentral.